CUUCAGCACAACCUUCUUGGGGAAAUUCCCCGGUCGCAAGGGCAGAGAGUGUCCGCCUGGAAACGGGUACCCACAUGCAAGCCGCACUUGCGACGAUGGCUUUGGCAAGAGCAUUUUGUGCAGGCUUCAUGUGGCGGUCACAGCAAAGUUAUGCUUGAUUACUCAACGGGGAUUAU
RNAcentral lists this non-coding RNA (176 nucleotides) under Cylindrotheca closterium. Lineage: Eukaryota; Bacillariophyta; Bacillariophyceae; Bacillariales; Bacillariaceae. The record is from RNAcentral.